This is a small nuclear RNA of Peromyscus leucopus (white-footed mouse), 191 nucleotides long. RefSeq annotates it as U2 spliceosomal RNA. The record is from RefSeq and is a predicted model, not a curated record. NCBI's taxonomy places the organism in Eukaryota, Metazoa, Chordata, Mammalia, Rodentia, Cricetidae. The transcript has a single exon.
AUUGCUUCUUGGCCCUUUGGCUAGGAUCAAGUGUAGUAUCUGUUCUUAUCAGUUUAAUAUCUGAUACGUCCUCUAUCUGAGGACAAUACAUUAAAUGGAUCUUUGGAAGUAAGAGUUGGAAUAGGAGCUUGCUCCAUCUACUCCAUACUUCGACCUAGUAUUGCAGUACCUCCAGAAAUGGUGAAUAGAAG